CCUACGGGAGGCAGCAGUGGGGAAUAUUGCGCAAUGGGCGAAAGCCUGACGCAGCGACGCCGCGUGAGGGAUGAAGGUCUUCGGAUCGUAAACCUCUGUCAGCAGGGAAGAAAGGUCACUGUGCUAAUCAGCAGUGAAUUGACGGUACCUGCAAAGGAAGCACCGGCUAACUCCGUGCCAGCAGCCGCGGUAAUACGGAGGGUGCGAGCGUUAAUCGGAUUUACUGGGCGUAAAGCGCUCGUAGGCGGUAUGUCAAGUCAAGGGUGAAAGCCCCGCGCUCAACGUGGGAACUGCCUUUGAAACUGGCAAACUGGAGUGUGUGAGAGGAUAGUGGAAUUCCAGGUGUAGGAGUGAAAUCCGUAGAUAUCUGGAGGAACAUCAGUGGCGAAGGCGACUAUCUGGCACAUAACUGACGCUGAGGAGCGAAAGCGUGGGUAGCAAACAGGAUUAGAUACCCCAGUAGUC
This 465-nucleotide ribosomal RNA is filed under the name uncultured bacterium. RNAcentral's name for it is "partial 16S ribosomal RNA". It matches the Rfam family "Bacterial small subunit ribosomal RNA", at positions 338 to 795 of the family's 1533-position model. The record is from RNAcentral.